Anoplopoma fimbria (sablefish) is the source of this 251-nucleotide long non-coding RNA. RefSeq lists it as uncharacterized. The transcript has 3 exons. NCBI's taxonomy places the organism in Eukaryota, Metazoa, Chordata, Actinopteri, Perciformes, Anoplopomatidae. The record is from RefSeq and is a predicted model, not a curated record.
UUACUUAGAUCUGCCGGGCUGCAGCACCUGCUCCACCUUCCUGUGGCCUCCAGUCAAAUUAUCACGACCAAAGAUGCUGGAAUUUGGGAUAACGGCGCCUACCUGAGGGGCUUGGAACCGGCUUUUGGACUGAAAAAUAGCAGCUUCCUACAGCCUUCUUCCAGGCAGUGUAGUUGCUGUGCAUUGGAAACUGAGUGCCAUCAUAGUUGUUGCUUUGCGAUGAAAACCUUCCCUCCCUGCAUCCGCUGUAG